UACAGAGGGUGCGAGCGUUAAUCGGAUUUACUGGGCGUAAAGGGCGCGUAGGCGGGCAGGCGAGUGUGAUGUGAAAGCCCCGGGCUUAACCUGGGAAGUGCAUCGCAAACGGCCGGCCUGGAGUAUAUGAGAGGGUGGCGGAAUUUCCGGUGUAGCGGUGAAAUGCGUAGAGAUCGGAAGGAACGUCGAUGGCGAAGGCAGCCACCUGGCAUGAUACUGACGCUGAGGCGCGAAAGCGUGGGGAGCGAACAGG
Molecule: ribosomal RNA, 253 nt
Filed under: uncultured Aquicella sp.
Lineage: Bacteria; Pseudomonadati; Pseudomonadota; Gammaproteobacteria; Legionellales; Coxiellaceae
Description: partial 16S ribosomal RNA
Rfam family: Bacterial small subunit ribosomal RNA
Source: RNAcentral